GACAGAGGGCGCAAACGUUGUUCGGAAUUACUGGGCGUAAAGGGCUCGUAGGCGGCCAACUAAGUCAGACGUGAAAUCCCUCGGCUUAACCGGGGAACUGCAUCUGAUACUGGAUGGCUUGAGAUUGGGAGAGGGAUGCGGAAUUCCAGGUGUAGCGGUGAAAUGCGUAGAUAUCUGGAGGAACACCGGUGGCGAAGGCGGCAUCCUGGACCAACACUGACGCUGAGGAGCGAAAGCCAGGGGAGCAAACAGG
Molecule: ribosomal RNA, 253 nt
Filed under: uncultured bacterium
Lineage: Bacteria
Description: partial 16S ribosomal RNA
Rfam family: Bacterial small subunit ribosomal RNA
Source: RNAcentral